CUCGUAGGCGGUUCGUCGCGUCCGGUGUGAAAGUCCAUCGCUUAACGGUGGAUCCGCGCCGGGUACGGGCGGGCUUGAGUGCGGUAGGGGAGACUGGAAUUCCCGGUGUAACGGUGAAUGUGUAGAUAUCGGGAAGAACACCAAUGGCGAAGGCAGGUCUCUGGGCCGUUACUGACGCUGAGGAGCGAAAGCGUGGGGAGCGAACA
Molecule: ribosomal RNA, 206 nt
Filed under: uncultured bacterium
Lineage: Bacteria
Description: partial 16S ribosomal RNA
Rfam family: Bacterial small subunit ribosomal RNA
Source: RNAcentral